RNAcentral lists this ribosomal RNA (553 nucleotides) under uncultured methanogenic archaeon. Its description in RNAcentral is "bacterial SSU rRNA". It matches the Rfam family "Archaeal small subunit ribosomal RNA", at positions 325 to 880 of the family's 1478-position model. Lineage: Archaea; Methanobacteriati; Methanobacteriota. The record is from RNAcentral.
ACGGGGUGCAGCAGGCGCGAAAACUUCGCAAUGGGGGCAACCCCGACGAGGGAAUUCCAAGUGCCAGCACUUUGUGUUGGCUGUUCUCCUGUCUAAAAAACAGGAGGAGUAAGGGGCGGGUAAGACGGGUGCCAGCCGCCGCGGUAAUACCCGCGCCCCUAGUGGUGGUCGAUAUUAUUGAGCCUAAAACGUCCGUAGCCGGUCUUCUAAAUCCUUGGGUAAAUCGGGCAGCUUAACUGUCCGAAGUCCGGGGAGACUGGGAGACUUGGGACCGGGAGAGGUCAGAGGUACUUCUGGGGUAGGGGUAAAAUCCUGUAAUCCUGGAAGGACCACCGGUGGCGAAGGCGUCUGACUAGAACGAAUCCGACGGUGAGGGACGAAGCCCUGGGGCGCAAACGGGAUUAGAUACCCCGGUAGUCCAGGGUGUAAACGCUGCGGGCUUGGUGUUGGGGGUCCUUAGUGGGCGCCCAGUGCCGGAGAGAAGUUGUUAAGCCUGCUGCUUGGGGAGUAUGUCCGCAAGGAUGAAACUUAAAGGAAUUGGCGGGGGAGCACA